This 253-nucleotide ribosomal RNA is filed under the name uncultured bacterium. RNAcentral's name for it is "partial 16S ribosomal RNA". It matches the Rfam family "Bacterial small subunit ribosomal RNA", at positions 524 to 776 of the family's 1533-position model. The record is from RNAcentral.
UACGUAGGUGGCAAGCGUUGUCCGGAUUUACUGGGCGUAAAGAGCGCGCAGGCGGUCGUUCAAGUCGCGUGUGAAAGCCCCCGGCUCAACUGGGGAGGGUCACGCGAUACUGAUCGACUCGAAGGCAGGAGAGGGUAGUGGAAUUCCCGGUGUAGUGGUGAAAUGCGCAGAUAUCGGGAGGAACACCAGUGGCGAAGGCGACUACCUGGCCUGUUCUUGACGCUGAGGUGCGAAAGCGUGGGGAGCAAACAGG